Small nuclear RNA from Ochotona princeps (American pika), 107 nucleotides. The record is from Ensembl. Lineage: Eukaryota; Metazoa; Chordata; Mammalia; Lagomorpha; Ochotonidae.
GUGCUCGCUUCAGCAGCACAUAUACUAAAAUUGGAACGAUAUACAGAAGAUUAGCAUGGCUCCUGCGCAAGGAAAUAAUACAUCAACAGGAUAUUGUACUGUUCUUC